This 803-nucleotide ribosomal RNA is filed under the name Lopadostoma fagi. RNAcentral's name for it is "eukaryotic LSU rRNA". It matches the Rfam family "Eukaryotic large subunit ribosomal RNA", at positions 119 to 947 of the family's 3401-position model. Lineage: Eukaryota; Fungi; Ascomycota; Sordariomycetes; Xylariales; Xylariaceae. The record is from RNAcentral.
AAUCUGGCCCUCGGGUCCGAGUUGUAAUUUGUAGAGGAUGCUUUUGGUGCGGCGCCUUCCGAGUUCCCUGGAACGGGACGCCAUAGAGGGUGAGAGCCCCGUACGGUUGGAUGCCUAGCCUCUGUAAAGCUCCUUCGACGAGUCGAGUAGUUUGGGAAUGCUGCUCUAAAUGGGAGGUAAAUUUCUUCUAAAGCUAAAUACCGGCCAGAGACCGAUAGCGCACAAGUAGAGUGAUCGAAAGAUGAAAAGCACUUUGAAAAGAGGGUUAAAUAGCACGUGAAAUUGUUGAAAGGGAAGCACUCAUGACCAGACUUUUGCCUGGCGGAUCAUCCGGCGUUCUCGCCGGUGCACUUCGCCAGGUUGAGGCCAGCAUCGAUUUCUGUAGGGGGAUAAAGACUUCGGGAAAGUAGCUCUCUUCGGGGAGUGUUAUAGCCCGUCGUGUAAUACCUUUACGGGGAUCGAGGUUCGCGCUCUGCAAGGAUGCUGGCAUAAUGGUCAUCAGUGACCCGUCUUGAAACACGGACCAAGGAGUCGAACAUUUAUGCGAGUGUUUGGGUGUUAAACCCUCACGCGUAAUGAAAGUGAACGGAGGUGAGAGCCCUUAAGGGUGCAUCAUCGACCGAUCCUGAUGUCUUCGGAUGGAUUUGAGUAAGAGCAUAACUGUUCGGACCCGAAAGAUGGUGAACUAUGCGUGGAUAGGGUGAAGCCAGAGGAAACUCUGGUGGAGGCUCGCAGCGGUUCUGACGUGCAAAUCGAUCGUCAAAUCUGCGCAUGGGGGCGAAAGACUAAUCGAACCAUGCUAG